Molecule: ribosomal RNA, 215 nt
Filed under: uncultured bacterium
Lineage: Bacteria
Description: partial 16S ribosomal RNA
Rfam family: Bacterial small subunit ribosomal RNA
Source: RNAcentral
UACGGAGGGUGCAAGCGUUAUCCGGAUUCACUGGGUUUAAAGGGUGCGUAGGUAGGUUGGUAAGUCAGUGGUGAAAUCUCCAGGCUUAACUUGGAAACUGCCAUUGAUACUAUCAAUCUUGAAUACCGUGGAGGUCAGCGGAAUAUGUCAUGUAGCGGUGAAAUGCUUAGAGAUGACAUAGAACACCAAUUGCGAAGGCAGCUGGCUACACGAAU